UGCUGGAAACAAGGUAUUAACGACCCUGAGAGAGAUGAGACCUCUUUGGAAGUUCCACUCCUCGGGGAUCUCUCAACCCUGCGGCGAUGUCUGCGGCGAGAUUUCAGUGUCGCCGUCGCCCGAGCCCGGUUCGCCCUUCGUCUUGUUCUCCUUCUUCCAUUUCAUCCGUCUGUUUUGGAACCAGAUUUUGAUUUGCCGUUCCGUCAGGCAGAGUGCGUGCGCGAUCUCGAUGCGCCGCCGCCUGGUCAGGUAUCGGUUGAAGUGGAACUCCUUCUCCAGCUCGAGGGUUUGGUAUCGGGUACACUGCGCGGACGCAUGUGCACGCGAAUUACCCUUGAAACGUACUGUGGUUUCAAAACUGCUCGCAUAAUACUCGAACAUUAUGCGCGCUCUAAUUUCGACGUCGUUCCAAGAAACUUGGUUUCUCGCUAAAAC
This 435-nucleotide unclassified non-coding RNA is filed under the name Bombus terrestris (buff-tailed bumblebee). RNAcentral describes it as "misc RNA ENSBTSG00005028258.1". The record is from RNAcentral. Lineage: Eukaryota; Metazoa; Arthropoda; Insecta; Hymenoptera; Apidae.